This 164-nucleotide ribosomal RNA is filed under the name Bupleurum marginatum var. stenophyllum. RNAcentral's name for it is "5.8S ribosomal RNA". It matches the Rfam family "5.8S ribosomal RNA". From Rfam's summary of the family: 5.8S ribosomal RNA (5.8S rRNA) is a component of the large subunit of the eukaryotic ribosome. It is transcribed by RNA polymerase I as part of the 45S precursor that also contains 18S and 28S rRNA. The record is from RNAcentral. Lineage: Eukaryota; Viridiplantae; Streptophyta; Magnoliopsida; Apiales; Apiaceae.
CCAAUGACUCUCGGUAACGGAUAUCCCGGCUCUCGCAUUGAUGAAGAACGUAGCGAAAUGCGAUACUUGGUGUGAAUUGCAGAAUCCCGUGAACCAUCGAGUUUUUGAACGCAAGUUGCGCUCGAUGACAUUAGGUUGAGGGCACGUCUGCCUGGGUGUCACGU